Long non-coding RNA from Erinaceus europaeus (western European hedgehog), 1643 nucleotides. RefSeq lists it as uncharacterized. The transcript has 4 exons. NCBI's taxonomy places the organism in Eukaryota, Metazoa, Chordata, Mammalia, Eulipotyphla, Erinaceidae. The record is from RefSeq and is a predicted model, not a curated record.
GGAAUAGUCAUAUCCUGAAGUUUAAAAAGAAAGAAGCAAUUUGGAAUGGUCACAUGAUUCCUGCUCUGAGAUUCCAGGAGUUUGCUCCCCUGGUGUCCUGAUGCUUUCAAACAGUUCCAGGGUUCAAACCUGGGGCCUCUCACAUGGUUUCCAGCUGUUGCUGGAGGAAUCAUGACCGACUGGAUGUGGGGUUGCUUGGAUGCCUGUUCUCAAGAGAGCUCUGACAGAGUAAGUGACAAAUAGACCAUUAAAGGCACAUUUAUUCAAAGCAGGGAUCAAAAGUGAGGACUCCUCAUCAAAUUUCUGCUUCCUGAUGGAUUUUGUUGUUGUUGUUCUGGUGGCUGGAUCAUCCAACUCUACCACUCAAGGAAGACUGGUUUUAUAAUGAGCGCAGCCUAGAAUCUUCCCCACUGUGAACAUGAACUGUGGACUCUGACUGAUAGGGACCAGAAGCUACUCAGGCUCCUGUGGUAAAUACUAAUAUACAUGGGGUGUGUGUCAGAAUGAUGUGAUAAAGUGUUAUUCUGCAUCUCCAAAAGAAUUUUGCUUUUUUUCCUCUCAGAGGAGGAAAUGUUAGGGGGAGAUGAGUAGGUUCUGAACCCCAGUUCCACCAGGACCUGGAACUUUAGUGAUCAGGAACCUUUAUUUUUGCCCCAUUGCUGAGAGAGAAGAGAAUUUGGAAAACACCUGAAUAAGUGAAGUCCUGUUUUCUUUAUCCAAGAGGGAAAAGGUAAAAAGGGCAUCACACCUGGCAGUUGUAAUGGGUGUAAGUGUGGCUCAGAAAGAAAGCGAAGGUGGGUGGGGCCUUAGGAGGAAGUAAAAACAUGUAAUAAGUUCCACAUGGGGUUAUUCAUCUGUACCCAAAUGACCCACAUACUUCGCUGAUACGUGCCUUUUCAUUUUCUUGACUAAAAGUUUUAAAUAAAAAAAAGGAAGGAAGGAAGGAAGGAAGAAAGGGAGGAAGGGAGAAAGAAAGAAAGAAAGAAAAAAAGAAAGAAAGAAAGACCCAUAAGGAAUACUUAGAUGGAGUUAGGGGCUUAAAAUCCUUUAGAUAAAAGUCUUAUAAGAAAAAAGAAGUCAUGGAAUAUAUACUCAAUGAAGUACAACUCAGCAGUUAAAAAGACUGUAUUGUGUCUUUUGGGACAAAUUGAGUAAAACUGGAGGUGCUGAUGCUUAGUGAAGUAAAGAAGGGAGUAAGGAGAACUGUGGGAUGCUCUCAGUCGUAUGUGGAAUAUGGAGAAUUGAAGCUUGUGAACUUGAAAAACGACAAGAAAACCCCACACAUCUUUAUUUAUAGUCACCCCCCCCCAUAUCUAUGACCUUUCGAGAACUAUGUUGGAUACCAUUGAAGGGUUUGGGAGGGGGAGCACAGAACUUUGGUGGUGGGAGUGGUGUGGAGGUCUAACCCUAUUAUCUUAUCAUUUAGUAAAACACUAUUAAAUCAAAAAGAAAUAAAUUGUUUAGCAAAAGAAGAAAGGCAGUGAACUUCUAGCUGUUGAGAUAAAGCAAAGAAUUAUUGCACUGAAAUAGAGAUAGUCUUGAGACUCAUGAACAAAAGAUAAUAAAAAUAAGGGAGAUUGGAGAUAAGUGAGGGCUUCUCAGUUUCUGUGGAGCCUGAUCAUAUUCCUUAUACAUACUUCCUU